Molecule: ribosomal RNA, 372 nt
Filed under: uncultured organism
Description: bacterial SSU rRNA
Rfam family: Bacterial small subunit ribosomal RNA
Source: RNAcentral
CAGAGGUGGCAAGCGUUGUUCGGAAUUACUGGGCGUAAAGGGCGAGUAGGUGGCCUUCCAAGUCAGACGUGAAAUCCCCCGGCUUAACCUGGGAACUGCGUCUGAUACUGGGAAGCUUGAGUAUGGGAGAGGGAGGUAGAAUUCCAGGUGUAGCGGUGAAAUGCGUAGAUAUCUGGAGGAAUACCGGUGGCGAAGGCGGCCUCCUGGACCAUAACUGACACUGAUCCGCGAAAGCUAGGGGAGCAAACGGGAUUAGAUACCCCGGUAGUCCUAGCCCUAAACGAUGAAUGCUUGGUGUGGCGGGUAUCGAUCCCUGCCGUGCCGAAGCUAACGCAUUAAGCAUUCCGCCUGGGGAGUACGGUCGCAAGGCUG